This 84-nucleotide transfer RNA is filed under the name uncultured Microbacteriaceae bacterium. RNAcentral describes it as "tRNA-Leu". It matches the Rfam family "tRNA". Rfam says of the family: Transfer RNA (tRNA) molecules are approximately 80 nucleotides in length. Their secondary structure includes four short double-helical elements and three loops (D, anti-codon, and T loops). Further hydrogen bonds mediate the characteristic L-shaped molecular structure. tRNAs have two regions of fundamental functional importance: the anti-codon, which is responsible for specific mRNA codon recognition, and the 3' end, to which the tRNAs corresponding amino acid is attached (by aminoacyl-tRNA synthetases). tRNAs cope with the degeneracy of the genetic code in two manners: having more than one tRNA (with a specific anti-codon) for a particular amino acid; and 'wobble' base-pairing, i.e. permitting non-standard base-pairing at the 3rd anti-codon position. Lineage: Bacteria; Bacillati; Actinomycetota; Actinomycetes; Micrococcales; Microbacteriaceae. The record is from RNAcentral.
GCCGGAUUGGCGGAAUGGCAGACGCGAAGCACUCAAAAUGCUUUGUCCGGAAGGGCGUGUGGGUUCAAGUCCCACAUCCGGCAC